Molecule: ribosomal RNA, 439 nt
Filed under: uncultured bacterium
Lineage: Bacteria
Description: partial 16S ribosomal RNA
Rfam family: Bacterial small subunit ribosomal RNA
Source: RNAcentral
CUACGGGUGGCUGCAGUGGGGAAUAUUGCACAAUGGGCGAAAGCCUGAUGCAGCAACGCCGCGUGGAGGAUGACACAUUUCGGUGCGUAAACUCCUUUUAUAUAAGAAGAUAAUGACGGUAUUAUAUGAAUAAGCACCGGCUAACCCCGUGCCAGCAGCCGCGGUAAUACGGGGGGUGCAAGCGUUACUCGGAAUCACUGGGCGUAAAGAGCAUGUAGGCUGGAUGACAAGUUGGAAGUGAAAUCCUAUGGCUUAACCAUAGAACUGCUUCCAAAACUGUCAUCCUAGAGUAUGGGAGAGGUAGAUGGAAUUUCUGGUGUAGGGGUAAAAUCCGUAGAGAUCAGAAGGAAUACCGAUUGCGAAGGCGAUCUACUGGAACAUUACUGACGCUCAGAUGCGAAAGCGUGGGGAGCAAACAGGAUUAGAUACCCUUGUAGUC